RNAcentral lists this transfer RNA (74 nucleotides) under Candidatus Cloacimonadota bacterium. RNAcentral's name for it is "tRNA-Val". It matches the Rfam family "tRNA". From Rfam's summary of the family: Transfer RNA (tRNA) molecules are approximately 80 nucleotides in length. The record is from RNAcentral. RNAcentral also lists the same sequence under 2 other names. Lineage: Bacteria; Pseudomonadati; Candidatus Cloacimonadota.
GGGCGAUUAGCUCAGCUGGUUAGAGCGCUGGUGUCACAUACCAGAGGUCACAGGUUCGAGUCCCGUAUCGCCCA